This 943-nucleotide long non-coding RNA is filed under the name Nicotiana benthamiana. RNAcentral describes it as "long non-coding RNA (NBEN_LNC013085)". Lineage: Eukaryota; Viridiplantae; Streptophyta; Magnoliopsida; Solanales; Solanaceae. The record is from RNAcentral.
GCCUACUCCUAAUACAGUUUAGACUAGACUUCUAAUACAGUUAGACUUCUAACAACAACUAAGGGACAGCAUAAUGGAAAGGGAACUCCACAGCCAACCAUGAGGCAUGAGGUUGGAGUCCAAGUUCAAGUCAGAAUUUAGUUAAAGAUUUAGUUUAGCAAGAUAUCUAACCCAUUUAUCACCUAUUUUCUGAUUCUUUAGUUGUUGUUGUUGUUGUUUCCGAAGACUUGAACUUUAUUUUUUUAUUUUUUUUGGUCACUUUCAAUCAAGAUCACGGGCGCACCUUCUCCUCAGUUCUGCGAUUUUCUCUUUCGCAAAUUUUCACCAUUGUUUAACUCUUUGUUCUGUUCCGGCGACCCCUGCUCUAUUCUCUUUUUCCUCGCUCGCUUUUUUCUUUCUUUUCUUCCUAUUCUCUCUUCUGCUUUUUGUGGGUGUGUGUGGGUGUGUUAUAUUUUCUUGGACAGGUGCCUUAUUUUUUCGGCGAGGAUUUCCGGCAAGCUACAGCGCUUCCGGCGACUCCCGUUCAGGUUUUCGGCAGGACGCAGCAGAACUAUUCCGAUAAGCUUCAAGAAAACUUGCCCCAGGUACUAGUAGCGCCGGCGAGGCCAGUUUACGGCGUUAGGGAGUGAGGAGCUAAGCAACACCAGCUGGGACGUGCAAGAGUUGGUAGCAGUUGACCUCGGGCGCAUCAAAGCCUACUUUCAGGUUUUUCCAUCGGGAGUUGGUACCUCCCGCUCUCUUGUUUACUCUGUAAACCUUUUUACGUAUUCUAGCUAGCAUUUUGCGUAAGGUUUACUCUGUUGCUAUCUAGUUUGCAUCUUUUAGCGUAUUCCGAUAUAGUGCGUGUCUGCGUCACUAUUCUCCAUAGUCGGUUGUAGAGAUAGUGGCCGCGGCGGGGGAUGAUAGUGUAAGGUCAUGUCCUCGGGGGAUGGGGGCGGUGGCG